This 403-nucleotide unclassified non-coding RNA is filed under the name soil metagenome. RNAcentral's name for it is "partial contains 5.8S ribosomal RNA, internal transcribed spacer 2, and large subunit ribosomal RNA". The stretch from base 1 to 120 matches the Rfam family "5.8S ribosomal RNA", at positions 35 to 154 of the family's 154-position model. The record is from RNAcentral.
GAUGAAGAACGCAGCGAAACGCGAUAGGUAAUGUGAAUUGCAGAAUUCCGUGAAUCAUCGAAUCUUUGAACGCACAUUGCACCUUCUGGUAUUCCGGUAGGCAUAUCUGUUUGAGCGUCAGCAAAACAACCUCUCGGUGGGUCUGUCUUCCGGGACGGCCCCUGCCGGUAAUGGGUUGGAAGGAGGGGUGUAUACCACCCGACCUCCCACCUUAAAUCUGUGUAUGACCGCGAGCUACUUCUGGCUGGGAAUUUACGGAGUGGUGUUUACAUGUCUUCCGAGUCCCGACGGAUACCGCUCCCGCGGCGUUAAACUCGAUGUUGCCCCUGAUCAGGUAACUGUGGUUUGACCUCAAAUCAGAUAAGAAUACCCGCUGAACUUAAGCAUAUCAAUAAGCGGAGGA